This 657-nucleotide ribosomal RNA is filed under the name uncultured bacterium. Its description in RNAcentral is "bacterial SSU rRNA". It matches the Rfam family "Bacterial small subunit ribosomal RNA", at positions 84 to 737 of the family's 1533-position model. The record is from RNAcentral.
CCUGGUGGCGAGUGGCGAACGGGUGAGUAAUAUAUCGGAACGUGCCCAGUCGUGGGGGAUAACGCAGCGAAAGCUGUGCUAAUACCGCAUACGAUCUCUGGAUGAAAGCGGGGGACCUUCGGGCCUCGCGCGAUUGGAGCGGCCGAUAUCAGAUUAGCUAGUUGGCGGGGUAAAAGCCCACCAAGGCGACGAUCUGUAGCUGGUCUGAGAGGACGACCAGCCACACUGGAACUGAGACACGGUCCAGACUCCUACGGGAGGCAGCAGUGGGGAAUUUUGGACAAUGGGCGAAAGCCUGAUCCAGCAAUGCCGCGUGCAGGAUGAAGGCCUUCGGGUUGUAAACUGCUUUUGUACGGAACGAAACGGCCUCCUCUAAUACGGGGGGCUAAUGACGGUACCGUAAGAAUAAGCACCGGCUAACUACGUGCCAGCAGCCGCGGUAAUACGUAGGGUGCGAGCGUUAAUCGGAAUUACUGGGCGUAAAGCGUGCGCAGGCGGUUAUAUAAGACAGAUGUGAAAUCCCCGGGCUCAACCUGGGACCUGCAUUUGUGACUGUAUAGCUAGAGUACGGUAGAGGGGGAUGGAAUUCCGCGUGUAGCAGUGAAAUGCGUAGAUAUGCGGAGGAACACCGAUGGCGAAGGCAAUCCCCUGGACCUG